RNAcentral lists this ribosomal RNA (387 nucleotides) under uncultured bacterium. Its description in RNAcentral is "bacterial SSU rRNA". It matches the Rfam family "Bacterial small subunit ribosomal RNA", at positions 28 to 417 of the family's 1533-position model. The record is from RNAcentral.
GACGAACGCUGGCGGCGUGCUUAACACAUGCAAGUCGAGCGGUAAGGCCCUUUCGGGGGUACACGAGCGGCGAACGGGUGAGUAACACGUGGGUGACCUGCCCUCAGCUCUGGGAUAAGCCUGGGAAACCGGGUCUAAUACUGGAUAUGACUCCAUGACGCAUGUUGUGGGGUGGAAAGCCUUGUGCGGCUGAGGAUGGGCCCGCGGCCUAUCAGCUUGUUGGUGGGGUGAGGCCUACCAAGGCGACGACGGGUAGCCGGCCUGAGAGGGCGACCGGCCACACUGGGACCGAGACACGGCCCAGACUCCUACGGGAGGCAGCAGUGGGGAAUCUUGCGCAAUGGGCGAAAGCCUGACGCAGCGACGCCGCGUGAGGGAUGACGGCCU